This 450-nucleotide ribosomal RNA is filed under the name uncultured bacterium. RNAcentral describes it as "partial 16S ribosomal RNA". It matches the Rfam family "Bacterial small subunit ribosomal RNA", at positions 354 to 796 of the family's 1533-position model. The record is from RNAcentral.
GUUAGGAAUAUUGGACAAUGGGCGCAAGCCUGAUCCAGCCAUGCCGCGUGAGUGAAGAAGGCCUUCGGGUUGUAAACUGCUUUUGUACGGAACGAAACGGUCCUGGCUAAUACCCGGGGCUAAUGACGGUACCGUAAGAAUAAGCACCGGCUAACUACGUGCCAGCAGCCGCGGUAAUACGUAGGGUGCGAGCGUUAAUCGGAAUUACUGGGCGUAAAGCGUGCGCAGGCGGUGCUGUAAGACAGGCGUGAAAUCCCCGGGCUCAACCUGGGAAUUGCGCUUGUGACUGCAGUGCUGGAGUGCGGCAGAGGGGGAUGGAAUUCCGCGUGUAGCAGUGAAAUGCGUAGAUAUGCGGAGGAACACCGAUGGCGAAGGCAAUCCCCUGGGCCUGCACUGACGCUCAUGCACGAAAGCGUGGGGAGCAAACAGGAUUAGAUACCCCGGUAGUCC